CUGGUUAGAGCACAUCACUCAUAAUGAUGGGGUCACAGGUUCGAAUCCCGUCGUAGCCACCA
RNAcentral lists this transfer RNA (62 nucleotides) under Klebsiella pneumoniae. Its description in RNAcentral is "tRNA-Ser". It matches the Rfam family "tRNA", at positions 16 to 71 of the family's 71-position model. From Rfam's summary of the family: Transfer RNA (tRNA) molecules are approximately 80 nucleotides in length. Lineage: Bacteria; Pseudomonadati; Pseudomonadota; Gammaproteobacteria; Enterobacterales; Enterobacteriaceae. The record is from RNAcentral.